RNAcentral lists this ribosomal RNA (109 nucleotides) under uncultured bacterium. RNAcentral describes it as "partial 16S ribosomal RNA". It matches the Rfam family "Bacterial small subunit ribosomal RNA", at positions 1373 to 1482 of the family's 1533-position model. The record is from RNAcentral.
CCCGGGCCUUGUACACACCGCCCGUCACACCACGAGAGUUUGUAACACCCGAAGUCGGUGAGGUAACCUUUUGGAGCCAGCCGCGAAGGUGGGACAGAUGAUUGGGGUG